This 502-nucleotide ribosomal RNA is filed under the name uncultured bacterium. RNAcentral describes it as "partial 16S ribosomal RNA". It matches the Rfam family "Bacterial small subunit ribosomal RNA", at positions 355 to 849 of the family's 1533-position model. The record is from RNAcentral.
UGGGGAAUUUUGGACAAUGGGCGCAAGCCUGAUCCAGCCAUGCCGCGUGCGGGAAGAAGGCCUUCGGGUUGUAAACCGCUUUUGUCAGGGAAGAAAUCUUCUGAGUUAAUACCUCGGGAGGAUGACGGUACCUGAAGAAUAAGCACCGGCUAACUACGUGCCAGCAGCCGCGGUAAUACGUAGGGUGCAAGCGUUAAUCGGAAUUACUGGGCGUAAAGCGUGCGCAGGCGGUUUUGUAAGACAGAGGUGAAAUCCCCGGGCUCAACCUGGGAACUGCCUUUGUGACUGCAAGGCUUGAGUGCGGCAGAGGGGGGAUGGAAUUCCGCGUGUAGCAGUGAGAUGCGUAGAUAUGCGGAGGAACACCGAUGGCGAAGGCAAUCCCCUGGGCCUGCACUGACGCUCAUGCACGAAAGCGUGGGGAGCAAACAGGAUUAGAUACCCUGGUAGUCCACGCCCUAAACGAUGUCAACUGGUUGUUGGGAAGGUUCCUUCUCAGUAACGU